This 450-nucleotide ribosomal RNA is filed under the name uncultured bacterium. RNAcentral describes it as "partial 16S ribosomal RNA". It matches the Rfam family "Bacterial small subunit ribosomal RNA", at positions 354 to 796 of the family's 1533-position model. The record is from RNAcentral.
GUGGGGAAUUUUGGACAAUGGGGGCAACCCUGAUCCAGCAAUGCCGCGUGCAGGAAGAAGGCCUUCGGGUUGUAAACUGCUUUUGUACGGAACGAAAAGGCUCUGGUUAAUACCUGGGGCUCAUGACGGUACCGUAAGAAUAAGCACCGGCUAACUACGUGCCAGCAGCCGCGGUAAUACGUAGGGUGCAAGCGUUAAUCGGAAUUACUGGGCGUAAAGCGUGCGCAGGCGGUUUUGUAAGACAGACGUGAAAUCCCCGGGCUCAACCUGGGAAUGGCGUUUGUGACUGCAAAGCUGGAGUGCGGCAGAGGGGGAUGGAAUUCCGCGUGUAGCAGUGAAAUGCGUAGAUAUGCGGAGGAACACCGAUGGCGAAGGCAAUCCCCUGGGCCUGCACUGACGCUCAUGCACGAAAGCGUGGGGAGCAAACAGGAUUAGAUACCCUGGUAGUCC